RNAcentral lists this transfer RNA (72 nucleotides) under Pectinophora gossypiella (pink bollworm). RNAcentral's name for it is "transfer RNA glutamic acid (anticodon UUC)". It matches the Rfam family "tRNA". From Rfam's summary of the family: Transfer RNA (tRNA) molecules are approximately 80 nucleotides in length. Their secondary structure includes four short double-helical elements and three loops (D, anti-codon, and T loops). The record is from RNAcentral. Lineage: Eukaryota; Metazoa; Arthropoda; Insecta; Lepidoptera; Gelechiidae.
GCCUCCGUGGUCUAGUGGUGAGAGCGUUAGGCUUUCGAUCUGGAGGUCCGGGUUCGAUUCCCGACGGGGACA